AAGCGGUCGUGUGGAGAAAUUUAGAAAAUAUUGUUUUAUUUAAAAACAACUUGUUGUUAAGCAUUACUGUUCCUUCCUAAAUGAAAAUUAUGAAAUUAUGGUGAAUAGGAUGGACUCCAAAGAUUGGGCAUUGAAAAUAGCAAACAGUUUUUUGUUUUUUUUUAGAAAAAUAACCUUAAAACCAGAUCUCUUGGGGCACCCUAUAUUCCUGAAAAAUAUGAUGAAAACAAAGCGUAGCAAAUUUAAAGUAAUAAC
Non-coding RNA from Pelobates cultripes (western spadefoot toad), 255 nucleotides. The record is from the annotation of a GenBank genome assembly. NCBI's taxonomy places the organism in Eukaryota, Metazoa, Chordata, Amphibia, Anura, Pelobatidae.